RNAcentral lists this ribosomal RNA (465 nucleotides) under uncultured bacterium. Its description in RNAcentral is "partial 16S ribosomal RNA". It matches the Rfam family "Bacterial small subunit ribosomal RNA", at positions 338 to 795 of the family's 1533-position model. The record is from RNAcentral.
CCUACGGGAGGCUGCAGUAGGGAAUCUUGCACAAUGGGCGAAAGCCUGAUGGAGCAACGCCGCGUGGGUGAAGAAGGUCUUCGGAACGUAAAACCCUGUUGUUAGAGAAGAAAGUGCGUGAGAGUAACUGUUCACGUUUCGACGGUAUCUAACCAGAAAGCCACGGCUAACUACGUGCCAGCAGCCGCGGUAAUACGUAGGUGGCAAGCGUUAUCCGGAUUUAUUGGGCGUAAAGGGAACGCAGGCGGUCUUUUAAGUCUCAUGUGAAAGCCUUCGGCUUAACCGGAGUAGUGCAUUGGAAACGGGGAGACGUGAGUGCAGAAGAGGAGAGUGGAACUCCAUGUGUAGCGGUGAAAUGCGUAGAUAUAUGGAAGAACACCAGUGGCGAAAGCGGCUCUCUGGUCUGUAACUGACGCUGAGGUUCGAAAGCGUGGGUAGCAAACAGGAUUAGAUACCCUUGUAGUC